CAAACGGCCCUUUUCAGGGCCAACAAUUUUGACACGUUUAACAAGU
Non-coding RNA from Pediculus humanus corporis (human body louse), 46 nucleotides. NCBI's taxonomy places the organism in Eukaryota, Metazoa, Arthropoda, Insecta, Psocodea, Pediculidae. The record is from Rfam.